RNAcentral lists this ribosomal RNA (903 nucleotides) under uncultured soil eukaryote. RNAcentral's name for it is "SSU rRNA". It matches the Rfam family "Eukaryotic small subunit ribosomal RNA", at positions 10 to 902 of the family's 1831-position model. The record is from RNAcentral.
GAUCCUGACGGUAGUCGUAUGCUCGUCUCCGAGACUAAGCCAUGCAAGUCCAAGUACACGUCCGUGCACGGCGGAAACUGCGAACGGCUCAUUAAACCAGUUACGAUCCACUCGGCGUUCGUUCGGCCGGAUAACCGUAGUAAUUCUAGGGCUAAUACGUGCGAGGGGCCCGAAGCCGCGAGGCGACGGGCGUACUCGCCGGAAACGGAACCGACCCGGGGACUGUCGGGCGACCGGCGUCCCCGAGACCGGGUGAACCACGGCGAACCGACGGAUCGCCGGCCCCGCGCCGGCGACCCGCCGAACGAGUUUCUGACCUAUCAACCGUCGACGGUGGGGUAGAGGCCCACCGUGGUAGUAACGGGUAACGGGGAAUCGGGGUUCGAUUCCGGAGAGGGAGCCCGAGAAACGGCUACCACUUCCAAGGAAGGCAGCAGGCGCGCAACUUACCCUAAUCUCGAUUCGAGGAGGUAGUGACAAGAAAUACCGAUGCGGGACCCUACGGGUACCGCGUUCGGAAUGAGUACGAUUCGAACCACCUAACGAGGAACGAUUGGAGGGCAAGUCUGGUGCCAGCAGCCGCGGUAAUUCCAGCUCCAACGGCGUACGUUAAAGUUGCUGCAGUUAAAAAGCUCGUAGUUGAAUGUCGGGUCCCGCGGGACAGGGCCGCCCCUCGGGGACGGCCCGGCUCCGGGACCCCGCCUCCGCGCGCGUCCCCUCCCUCGGGGGGGGUCGUGGCGGAAGAGUUUACCUGGAAAAAAUCGGAGCGAUCCAGGCGGGCGGAACCUCGCCGCGAACGAUCGGACACGGGAUAACGGAAGAGGGCGUCGACCCAACUUCGUUGGUUCCUUGGGCCGAAGCACGUACGAUCGACAGGGACGGUCGGGGCCGCUCGUACCGGGC